This 108-nucleotide small RNA is filed under the name Marmota monax (woodchuck). The record is from RNAcentral. Lineage: Eukaryota; Metazoa; Chordata; Mammalia; Rodentia; Sciuridae.
GCUGGGUGUGGUGGCACACACCUGUAAUCCCAGUGACUCAGGAGGCUGAGACAGGAGGAUUGCCAAGUCCAAGGUGAGCCUCAGAAACUUAGUGAGACACUGUUUCAA